Long non-coding RNA from Ictalurus punctatus (channel catfish), 913 nucleotides. NCBI's taxonomy places the organism in Eukaryota, Metazoa, Chordata, Actinopteri, Siluriformes, Ictaluridae. The record is from Ensembl.
CUAAAGUGUUUUAUUCCCCUUAUAAUACAGCAAUUUACCAACAAUCGCAAGUUUUAUUUAUUAAAGAAUGACAUGUAAUGCCUUUUAGCCAUUUAUAGUUACAUUUAAUGUUCGGAUGCCUGCAAAACAUCUUAUAGCAGCUAUAAAACAGGUGGAAUAAGUGUUUUGUUGCUCAUUGCAGGCCACAGCCGAACUCGAACUCUGAAAACAAUGCCGUGGGUAUGUACCGUAUUUAAACAAUACACUUCCCGUAAACAGGUGCCGAGCGGAAUUAACACGCCCAGAACUCUGCUUUAACUAGAAAACCAGCAUGAGCAACUCGAUUUUUUUUCAACAAACAAGACAUGCUGAACUUUUCUUUUCACUUGGACUUGUAUAGUGUCUCACAGAUCUCAAGGUCCCUUUCCAGAACCUUCAGACUAACUGUCCUCGGGGGUGGAAUGUAAUGGAGCUUAUAAAGCAAGAUUCAGGCGCAUGAAGCAAGCUGAUUUCUGUACCAAGAAAGAAAAGCACCAUCACAUGACCUCUACCCAGAGAGAAAACGAGCUUCCUGUGCAGACAGAGGAAGGAGAUGUACCAGGAAUCAUACAGAGGACACAGGAAUCUCAUUAUGGCCGACAUGAGACACGAACAUCAGCCACAACAAAUGCUAACUCACAACUGGCACUAUGGUCAGCUGGAGAUGGACACGUCAUUCCACUUUACCCGGAGAAUUCCAGCCUUUCCAUGAGACCGAGACAGAUCCAUGAGUGCUGGACUAACCCUACAGAGCAUCUCCAGGCCUGGACACCACGCCUGCACAUUUUCCAUCGACCGCUCACUGAGUACCACGCCCAUACUGAGGACUUCAGCUUAAACAGCAUGGCUGAGGGUCGAAGCUGGAAAGCUGGAAUGGUGCGCUCCAUCACCAGCG